Molecule: transfer RNA, 102 nt
Filed under: Aromia moschata
Lineage: Eukaryota; Metazoa; Arthropoda; Insecta; Coleoptera; Cerambycidae
Description: tRNA-OTHER
Source: RNAcentral
GCCAUAACCUCGGCAAUAGCUCAGUGGGUAAAGCACCAGGUGAGAAGAUGGCGAUUAUUCCGAGAGCUAUUAUCCGCUCGGGUUCGAAUCCCGCUUGUGGCA